CACCAAUCACGCCUGGCGUGGUAUUGGGCGACGGGGCCGUCACACGCCCCGCGCCCCAAUGACCUUCCGGCGGGACGGACCGUAUCUCAGCGUUGUGCAUCACGUAUUCGCUGGCGAGGACGGGACGGCCGAGCCGUUAAACAACCCCCUUCUCA
This 155-nucleotide unclassified non-coding RNA is filed under the name uncultured Neodevriesia. RNAcentral describes it as "sequence contains ITS2". Lineage: Eukaryota; Fungi; Ascomycota; Dothideomycetes; Mycosphaerellales; Neodevriesiaceae. The record is from RNAcentral.